UGAGGAAUAUUGGACAAUGGGUGGAAGCCUGAUCCAGCCAUCCCGCGUGAAGGAUGACGGUCCUAUGGAUUGUAAACUUCUUUUGUACAGGGAUAAACCUGCCCUCGUGAGGGCAGCUGAAGGUACUGUACGAAUAAGCACCGGCUAACUCCGUGCCAGCAGCCGCGGUAAUACGGAGGGUGCGAGCGUUAUCCGGAUUUAUUGGGUUUAAAGGGUCCGUAGGCGGGCCUGUAAGUCAGUGGUGAAAUCUCAUAGCUUAACUAUGAAACUGCCAUUGAUACUGCAGGCCUUGAGUAAAGUUGAAGUGGCUGGAAUAAGUAGUGUAGCGGUGAAAUGCAUAGAUAUUACUUAGAACACCGAUUGCGAAGGCAGGUCACUAAGAUUUAGCUGACGCUGAUGGACGAAAGCGUGGGGAGCGAAC
Molecule: ribosomal RNA, 421 nt
Filed under: uncultured bacterium
Lineage: Bacteria
Description: bacterial SSU rRNA
Rfam family: Bacterial small subunit ribosomal RNA
Source: RNAcentral